UACGUAGGGUGCGAGCGUUGUCCGGAAUUACUGGGCGUAAAGAGCUCGUAGGUGGUUUGUCGCGUUGUUCGUGAAAACUCACAGCUUAACUGUGGGCGUGCGGGCGAUACGGGCAGACUGGAGUACUGCAGGGGAGACUGGAAUUCCUGGUGUAGCGGUGGAAUGCGCAGAUAUCAGGAGGAACACCGAUGGCGAAGGCAGGUCACUGGGCCGCAACUGACGCUGAGGAGCGAAAGCAUGGGGAGCGAACAGG
RNAcentral lists this ribosomal RNA (253 nucleotides) under uncultured bacterium. RNAcentral's name for it is "partial 16S ribosomal RNA". It matches the Rfam family "Bacterial small subunit ribosomal RNA", at positions 524 to 776 of the family's 1533-position model. The record is from RNAcentral.